Molecule: ribosomal RNA, 500 nt
Filed under: uncultured bacterium
Lineage: Bacteria
Description: partial 16S ribosomal RNA
Rfam family: Bacterial small subunit ribosomal RNA
Source: RNAcentral
AUUGAACGCUGGCGGCAUGCUUUACACAUGCAAGUCGAACGGUAACAGGGUGCUUGCACCGCUGACGUGUGGCGAACGGGUGAGUAAUGCGUCGGAACGUGCCGAGUAGUGGGGGAUAACGCAGCGAAAGUUGUGCUAAUACCGCAUACGUACUGAGGUAGAAAGUGGGGGACCUUCGGGCCUCACGCUAUUCGAGCGGCCGACGUCUGAUUAGCUAGUAGGUGAGGUAAAGGCUCACCUAGGCGACGACCAGUAGCGGGUCUGAGAGGAUGAUCCGCCACACUGGGACUGAGAAACGGCCCAGACGCCUACGGGAGGCAGAGGUGGGGAAUUUUGGACAAUGGGCGAAAGCCUGAUCCAGCCAUGCCGCGUGUCUGAAGAAGGCCUUCGGGUUGUAAAGGACUUUUGUCAGGGAGGAAAUCCCUAGUGCUAAUAACACUGGGGGAUGACAGUACCUGAAGAAUAAGCACCGGCUAACUACGUGCCAGCAGCCGCCGUAA